Pelobates cultripes (western spadefoot toad) is the source of this 208-nucleotide non-coding RNA. The record is from the annotation of a GenBank genome assembly. NCBI's taxonomy places the organism in Eukaryota, Metazoa, Chordata, Amphibia, Anura, Pelobatidae.
GCCUUGGUUUUUCCACACGCUUCUUGCGACCCUGUUGACUAUUUUGAAUGAAACGCUUGAUUGUUCAAUGAUCACGCUUCAGAAGCUUUGCAAUUUUAAGAGUGCUGCAUCCCUCUGCAAGAUAUCUCACUAUUUUUGACUUUUCUGAGCCUGUCAAGUCCUUCUUUUGACCCAUUUUACCAAAGGAAAGGAAGUUGCCUAAUAAUUA